Molecule: ribosomal RNA, 285 nt
Filed under: Escherichia coli
Lineage: Bacteria; Pseudomonadati; Pseudomonadota; Gammaproteobacteria; Enterobacterales; Enterobacteriaceae
Also listed under: 2 other names
Description: partial 23S ribosomal RNA
Rfam family: Bacterial large subunit ribosomal RNA
Source: RNAcentral
CGUGGGCGCUGGAGAACUGAGGGGGGCUGCUCCUAGUACGAGAGGACCGGAGUGGACGCAUCACUGGUGUUCGGGUUGUCAUGCCAAUGGCACUGCCCGGUAGCUAAAUGCGGAAGAGAUAAGUGCUGAAAGCAUCUAAGCACGAAACUUGCCCCGAGAUGAGUUCUCCCUGACUCCUUGAGAGUCCUGAAGGAACGUUGAAGACGACGACGUUGAUAGGCCGGGUGUGUAAGCGCAGCGAUGCGUUGAGCUAACCGGUACUAAUGAACCGUGAGGCUUAACCUU